CUUUUUUGUGAUAAUUAUUUAAAGUUUGACCUGCCCACUGAUUAAAUUAAAGGGCCGCGGUAUUCUGACCGUGCAAAGGUAGCAUAAUCAUUAGUCUUUUAAUUGAAGGCUGGAAUGAAUGGUUUGACGAAGUAUUAACUGUCUCUGUAUGAUAAUUAGAAUUUAACUUUUGAGUUAAAAGGCUUAAAUUAGGUUAUAGGACGAGAAGACCCUAUAGAGUUUUAUAUAUUAAAGUCUGAGGAAUUUUUAGUUGAUGAAUGAUUCUUAAGGGUUUAAUUUAUUUUGUUGGGGUGACAUAGAGAUAGAAGAAACUCUUUAUUUAAGUUUACAUUAGUGUAUGGUUAUUUGAUCCAUUUUUAUUGAUCAUAAGAUAAAGUUACCUUAGGGAUAACAGCGUAAUUUUUUUUGAGAGUUCUUAUCGACAGAAAAGAUUGCGACCUCGAUGUUGGACUAAGGAAUAUGAUUAGGUGUAGCAGUUUAAUUAAUAGGUCUGUUCGACCUUUAAAUCCUUACAUUGAUCUGAGUUCA
RNAcentral lists this ribosomal RNA (528 nucleotides) under Kawanaphila nartee. Its description in RNAcentral is "partial 16S ribosomal RNA". It matches the Rfam family "Bacterial large subunit ribosomal RNA", at positions 1821 to 2613 of the family's 2925-position model. The record is from RNAcentral. Lineage: Eukaryota; Metazoa; Arthropoda; Insecta; Orthoptera; Tettigoniidae.